Non-coding RNA from Mesocricetus auratus (golden hamster), 435 nucleotides. The record is from the annotation of a RefSeq genome assembly. NCBI's taxonomy places the organism in Eukaryota, Metazoa, Chordata, Mammalia, Rodentia, Cricetidae.
CUUUCCUGAGAAUUUCUUGUAGGUCACACCCUGUAUUGGAGACAGUCUCAGACAGGUUACAGCACAGAAAUGAAGGCCCCCACUCAACUCCUCGUUCUUCUGCUCUUCUGGCUUACAGGUGCCAGAUGUGACAUUCAGAUGACCCAAUCACCAUCCUCCUUGUCUGUAUCUUUGGGAGAAAGUGUCACUAUCACAUGCCUGGCAAAUGAGAACAUUAAUGGGCAUAUAGCAUGGUAUCAGCAAAAACCAGAGAAACUUAAGCUCUUGAUCUAUGGUAUAAGUAUCUUGGCAGAUGGAGUUCCACCAAGGUUCAGCGGCAGUGGAUCUGGCACACACUAUUCUUUAAAGAUAACCAACCUGCAGCCUGAAGAUGUCACAACUUAUUACUGUCAACAAGUUUGGAGUACCCCACACACAUUGAUUCAAACCAUGUAA